RNAcentral lists this transfer RNA (72 nucleotides) under Sporichthyaceae bacterium. RNAcentral describes it as "tRNA-Val". Lineage: Bacteria; Bacillati; Actinomycetota; Actinomycetes; Sporichthyales; Sporichthyaceae. The record is from RNAcentral.
GUCGCAGGUCAGAGAACCGCCCGUAGCGCCCUUACAAGGCGGAUGUCGGCGGUUCGAGCCCGUCCGGGUCCA